Molecule: ribosomal RNA, 430 nt
Filed under: Gammaproteobacteria bacterium
Lineage: Bacteria; Pseudomonadati; Pseudomonadota; Gammaproteobacteria
Description: bacterial SSU rRNA
Rfam family: Bacterial small subunit ribosomal RNA
Source: RNAcentral
GAGCGGAUGAAGAUAGCUUGCUCCCUGAUUCAGCGGCGGACGGGUGAGUAAUGCCUAGGAAUCUGCCUGGUAGUGGGGGACAACGUUUCGAAAGGAACGCUAAUACCGCAUACGUCCUACGGGAGAAAGUGGGGGAUCUUCGGACCUCACGCUAUCAGAUGAGCCUAGGUACGAUUAGCUAGUUGGUGAGGUAAAGGCUCACCAAGGCGACGAUCGUUAACUGGUCUGAGAGGAUGAUCAGUCACACUGGAACUGAGACACGGUCCAGACUCCUACGGGAGGCAGCAGUGGGGAAUAUUGGACAAUGGGCGAAAGCCUGAUCCAGCCAUGCCGCGUGUGUGAAGAAGGUCUUCGGAUUGUAAAGCACUUUAAGUUGGGAGGAAGGGCAGUAAGUUAAUACCUUGCUGUUUUGACGUUACCGACAGAAUAA